Molecule: ribosomal RNA, 541 nt
Filed under: Symbiodinium sp. clade D
Lineage: Eukaryota; Dinophyceae; Suessiales; Symbiodiniaceae
Description: partial Eukaryotic small subunit ribosomal RNA
Rfam family: Eukaryotic small subunit ribosomal RNA
Source: RNAcentral
GUGGAGCCUGCGGCUUAAUUUGACCCAACACGGGAAAACUUACCAGGUCAGGACAUGUGAAGGAUUGACAGUCUGAGAGCACUUUCAUGAUUACAUGGGUGGUGGUGCAUGGCCGUUCUUAGUUGGUGGUGUGAAUUGUCUGGUUGAUUCCGUUAACGAACGAGACCUUCGCCUACUAAAUAGCUGCUGGAAGAUAUUGCGCUAAGGCCGGGGGGCCUACCUGAGGAAGGAUCCGUUCCCCUUGGGUGGUCGUUCUCCUGGUUGCUUUUCUUCCAGAAAAUGCUUCUUAGAGGGACUAUUUGUGACAAGCAAAUGGAAGUUGGAGGCAAAAACAGGUCUGUGAUGCCCUUCGAUGUUCUGGGCUGCACGCGCGCUACACUGACAGAGUCAACGAGUUUACAACCUUGGCCGAAAGGCCUGGGUAAUCUUUUGAAACUCUGUCGUGAUGGGGAUAGAUGAUUGCAAUUAUUCGUCUUGAACGAGGAAUGCCUAGUAAGCGCGGUUCAUCAGACCGCGCUGAUUACGUCCCUGCCCUUUGUAC